This 487-nucleotide long non-coding RNA is filed under the name Cricetulus griseus (Chinese hamster). RNAcentral's name for it is "lncRNA (ENSCGRG00015040352.1)". The record is from RNAcentral. Lineage: Eukaryota; Metazoa; Chordata; Mammalia; Rodentia; Cricetidae.
CAUGCCUGGAACACAGAAGGCAUAAUAAGACUUGUGGCAUGAGUGACUAAAUGCCCUUUUGAAUCAGAGAUGAUACCACAACCCUUGGACUGAUGGGAGAAAAGAACCACUUGUUUAACCUCUUCCUGACAUGUCCCCAUCUCCUCUACCCUCAGUGGCUCUCCAGCCAGAGUCUGCCUAGAGGGCGUGAAGGACAGGUGAACCUGGUAGAGUGGGCAGGUAGCAGGCUCUAAGUCUGCCAAUCUGGCAUCACCGCUUGGCGAAAGGCACCUUCUUAAAACAACAAACCUGUGUCUCUAAUUCAGCACUUCCUGCCUGUCUUGAUAACAUCACCUGUCAUUGGAGCCCACAGGACCAGAAUGGGACUGAGGGAACCACUUGGUCUGUCUCCCACUGCCCACCCUGGACCCUGGAGAAGGAAGUCCUGUGCUGCUUCUGUCCCCACCCCCAGCUGCAGCCCUCCCUUCCUGGCAGCCCUCACUCGCAG